UACAGAGGUGGCAAGCGUUGUUCGGAAUUACUGGGCGUAAAGGGCGCGUAGGCGGCCUUCUAAGUCAGACGUGAAAUCCCCCGGCUUAACCUGGGAACUGCGUCUGAUACUGGGAGGCUAGAGUAUGGGAGAGGGAUGUAGAAUUCCAGGUGUAGCGGUGAAAUGCGUAGAUAUCUGGAGGAAUACCGGUGGCGAAGGCGGGUCUCUGGGCCGAUACUGACGCUGAGGAGCGAAAGCGUGGGGAGCGAACAGG
Molecule: ribosomal RNA, 253 nt
Filed under: uncultured bacterium
Lineage: Bacteria
Description: partial 16S ribosomal RNA
Rfam family: Bacterial small subunit ribosomal RNA
Source: RNAcentral